GCAGAAGCCAAGGACCGUAGUUUACCAAACCCAUCUUGGCCUAUUUUUAGGAACGUAGUGCGGAGGUCGUUCAGAUGUAAGUUCUGAUGCGAUUGUUACGCGAUACUACACUCAUAAGAGUUUCUCUUGAGAAUAUUCUUGGAAUACGAGUAUUCGUUCCUCCGAUAAUAUUCGAAAGAUGGAACGAUGAUUAUGGGAACCUCUGAUAGAACAUGUCUGGCAGGUAAACCCUAGUACACUCCCUUUGGGUGGUUCUUAACCGAGACUCCAUGCUCG
This 276-nucleotide long non-coding RNA is filed under the name Lathyrus oleraceus (garden pea). Its description in RNAcentral is "Pisum sativum (pea) long non-coding RNA (PSAT_LNC040430)". The record is from RNAcentral. Lineage: Eukaryota; Viridiplantae; Streptophyta; Magnoliopsida; Fabales; Fabaceae.